GAGAAAAGUGAAGCCAAGAUGGCGGAAUUGACGUCCAAAAGCUAUGAAGGUCGUACACAGUUUUAAUACCAUUAACACAGUUUUAGUACACAGUUCGUACACAGUUUUAACACCAUGACACAGGUCGUACACAGUUUUAAUACCAUGACACAGGUCGUGCACAGUUUUAAUACCAUUCAGUUUUAAUACCAAUAACACAGUUUUAGUACACAGUUCGUACACAGUUUUAAUACCAUGACACAGGUCGUACACAGUUUUAAUACCAUUCAGUUUUAAUACCAAUAACACAGUUUUAGUACACAGUUCGUACACAGUUUUAAUACCAUGACACAGGUCGUACACAGUUUUAAUACCAUUCAAUUUUAAUACCAACAAGACGCUCCGUAGAGCGUUAACUCGCUGGGGCUAUAUACAAAUACGCACAUUACCAUGUAUGAUACAUACAUGCAUGCAGUACACAGCUAUUUUAAUUAAAAUUUAAGGUUGUGAGGUUGUCCCAAGCUAAGCGGGAAACUGAGCGCGAGUUUUGUUCACUCUGUUUUGAACCAUAUCAACAUAUAACAGUGCUCUGCAGUUUAUUUAGGUGAAUACCAUGUUAUAAUAUUGUUUAUUAUCCCACUGAUUUGCAUUGUGCCCCAAUGGCAAUCAUGCACCCUACUUUAUUAUUAAACCAGUCGAUUUUGCUUGUCAAAUUAGUAGGCUUGUAUUGCAGGUAGGUGGCUCAGUUUUGAAGUUUCUGUUAGUAUAAUGACCUCAGUUCAGGACUUAUACAAUCAGAAACAGUACUAUUACAUGUGGUCUACAAAUAAAACUUCCUGCGUUUCCGCCGGCUAGGAUUAAACUGCGCUUAAAAACGUUCAAAAUAAUUUUUGGCUAGGGUUAAACUGCACUUAAAAACGUGCGAAAUAUAAUAUUUUUGGGCUCAAAAUACUAUCAAAAUGAAGAGAGAAGUGAGACGAAUCUACUGGUGUACGGACGAAAAAGGGAAAACCAACGAUACCAAAGUUAUCAAGGAUCAAACGUACUGCAUUUUUUAUAAUUAGUUUAAUAUAAAUUUUGAGCGAUUUGUUAACAAUACAAUUUCGCUUGGCUUUCAAAGACAAACGCCAUAAACCGCUAGAAUACUGUUGUUUAGUAAUACAUUUGACAUCCGUAAGUACAAUUUCUUACGCUGAAUCGAACGGUGAUAUUUUUAUCCUUAUUGCGCCAUUAGACAGUACAAAUACGAAGUCAAACGUACUGCGAGUGUCGAGUGAUUGUCAACAACAGUAAACACAUACUGCGAGAGGUCUGCGAGCGAUUUAAUAGUCAACAAUACAAUUUCGUUUGAUUUUCAAAGGCC
This is a non-coding RNA of Paramuricea clavata, 1342 nucleotides long. The record is from the annotation of a GenBank genome assembly. Lineage: Eukaryota; Metazoa; Cnidaria; Anthozoa; Malacalcyonacea; Plexauridae.